AGAACCAGAGUGCCUCCUCCCAAUGACAGCAGUGAGGCCAGGACCGGUAGUCCUUUGAAGGUUAAGCAUAUCUCCUUCAAAACAGGUGACGAGCUCAUCUUCUUGGACCCUCACACAACCCAGACCUUUGUCGACACUGAAGAGAAUGGAACGGUUAAUGACCAGACUUUCCAUUGCCUGCAGUCCCCACAGCGAAUGAACAUCCUGAACCUGGAUCCUUCAGUUGCAUUGGGAUUUUUCUGCAAAGAAGAAAAAGACUUUGAUAACUGGUGUAGCCUUGUUCAGAAGGAAAUUCUAAAGGAGAAUUUAAGGAUGUUUGAAUUAGUUCAGAAACAUCCAUCACACUGGCCUCCCUUUGUACCUCCAGCCAAGCCAGAAGUGACAACCACUGGGGCAGAAUUCAUUGACUCUACUGAGCAACUGGAGGAGUUUGAUCUGGAGGAAGAUUUUGAGAUUCUGAGUGUGUAGAACCCUGGGAACUCAACUUGAAGGUCUGUCUUCCAUCUGGCACCAUAAAAACAUGAACUUAUUACAUAAAACUUUUCUAGUCAGCAAGUGCCUGAUAUGCCAAUAGCAUACAAACUCAACAGCAAUCAUGACUGAGCCAAUCACCGUUUCUCAGAA
This 624-nucleotide small RNA is filed under the name Pongo abelii (Sumatran orangutan). RNAcentral's name for it is "processed transcript". The record is from RNAcentral. Lineage: Eukaryota; Metazoa; Chordata; Mammalia; Primates; Hominidae.